This is a non-coding RNA of Cinara cedri, 181 nucleotides long. NCBI's taxonomy places the organism in Eukaryota, Metazoa, Arthropoda, Insecta, Hemiptera, Aphididae. The record is from the annotation of a GenBank genome assembly.
CGGAGACCAAGGAUCCAAAAAAAGUACAACCUCAUUUGAAAAAAUGUUUUGAGGGCAUUGCUAGUCUCGUUUUUACCGAAAAAUUGGAGGUCUUGUCUAUGGUAUCCAGUGAAAAGGAAGUCGUGAAAUUAUCAAUAGAGAUAAACACAGCUAAGGCUAAAGGUCAAGUCGAGAAAUGGCU